Molecule: long non-coding RNA, 2875 nt
Organism: Cydia pomonella (codling moth)
Lineage: Eukaryota; Metazoa; Arthropoda; Insecta; Lepidoptera; Tortricidae
Exons: 3
Source: RefSeq, a predicted model, not a curated record
AGUGAAUUUGCUUGUGGUGGUCUCGUUGUCUAUGGAUUCGGUGACAGAGUCGGUGUCCGUGGUGUCUGGAGGAGCUGUGGCUUUUGUGCGGCGGAGGAACGGCUGCCGGGAUUUUGCGGUCUGUGGAGGAAAAUCUUGAUGCAUUGAGCAGUUAUGACGGAGAUCCAGUUUUGUGAAGACUACGGGGGUUGAAGACGCUGUUACAACUUUAGAUGAAGAUAUGACGGUCACUGGAAUGGACUAGGACGAUCAUUGCUGACAUGGAUACUCAAGUUCCAAUCGCAACAUAAUGAAUGUCUGAAGAAUUAAAGAGAAGAUAUGGGAGACAACCAGAAUAGGGUAUAAACCGCCAGAAGCAGUUUCUAAAGUUGUAUAAUAAAAUAAGUGUGUUUGUGUCUUUACUUAAAUUACCCCUAAAAAUCUACCCUAACUUUAACUAGUCACUAGUUUAUCUUAGGUAAGUAAUGUAGCUUGAUUGAAAUGCAUUCUUAAACCAUUUUCUUACUUAACUCUUUUCAUUUUAAGUUAAGUAAUAUCCUGAGGUAUCCUACAGUUCAUAACGUUACUACACAGUAUAAAAUCGAGAAAUAAAUGGACAUUCGUAGCCGUAUUUGUAAUAAUCUUUACAUAAAUCUUUGAACAGGUCGUUGACUCAUCAUCUACUUAUACCUAACACCUGAGAAUUUACUGAAUACAAUUCGUUUUCCCGUACCAUGAGGCUCGGAAGUUAGCGUAUUCGCUAUUAAGAAAGCUAAUUUCUUUGUUAUUUGCCGCAAAAGUUCACAGUUUUUACAGGAUGCCAUGUUAUUUACUAAUUUAAACUUGCACAAAAACAAAAAAGUUCAUAAAUGGUAGUCUUAAGAGGAAAGGGGACGACCGUUUCUCUAUAGCGAAGUCCCCAUUUUCCUCUAUAGAUUAUAGAAAGUAUGUUUACACAAUUGACCAAAGCUAAGCACAUUCGCUUGACUUUGCGAUUUUUUGAGUUAAGAGCGAAAAAAAAGUACCUGAUACAAAUUUUUAAAUGCUUAUAAUAAUUCAAAAAAAUCAAACGAACGGUGAUAGCUGUGUUUCAUAUACAUCAAGCUGUGUCAAAAUAUUUACAAUAAUGUUAAUAUCCAGAGAGGAAAAUGGGGACUACGUUUGUAUGAAAGGGCGGUGUCGGGCGGUCGUAGUCUACUUUAAUCUUAAUGCCUAAUGUAUGAAGUUGAGAAGACAAAGUAAGUACGGUCACAAAAUAGCACUAUAAAGGUAAGUUUAUAUUAAACUUAUCUUGCAUACCUAUCGAUGCCAAAUCAUCCUACCGAAAAUAUAAAAUAAAACAAACACCAAAAGGGCUUCACCUCAAGGUUUUUAAAUCUCAGAAGCCAAGAUGCGAAUCGUUUCUGCCGUAGCGAACGAAACGGUAAUGUCUCUCUAUCACUCUUCCAUAUUAGUGUGACAGAGAGACGGCGCAAACGAUUGGUAUCUUGGCCAGGUUCCGUCUCAACACUGGGCUGGCCCUUAAACCUUUAGGAAUGUCGCAAUGUGGUAUUGUUUGCAAGAUAAACGUCCCGGUGGGUUAUGUCAGAGGUGAAUAAUACAGGCCCAGUCCUACGAGUGGCGUUACGUACCAGCCAUGAUACGACCGAAGUAGGGUCAGACAAUUUGAUAGGUGCAAUAUGGGGAUUCUAAGAUAAGCAGAAGAGCAGUGGCAAGCACGCUUAGGGAUAGACCGCAAUUGUAACCUAUGGACUAAUACUCUGAGACGUUGCUGGCCCUUCACCAAACUUGAAGAACCCUAAUGUAGUCAGUAAAUAAGAGGAAUUAUAAAUAUAAAUACAAAAAGCCUGACUGCUUACAUAUAUUUUUGAAAUGGUACUGUCAAUAGUUUUCAUCUGAAACCCAUAUUGAUAUGGUAAGAAAAAAAUAGACCCUCCCUUUUUUCAUUUGCGGGAGCCUUUUUUUUUAAUUUAUAUAGACUAUGUCACUACCACAAUUCGAACGAACUUAACGACACCUCAGGUCAAAAACCGUCCAGCAGAUUGGGCUGUAGGGCGUACCAAAGAUAUGGACAUACAUAGACGCUCGAAAAAUAUUACCCUCCUCCUGACGUAGUCGGUUAAAACAAGCUGGUUAUCUAGGCUGUUUAUUAUGCAAUGGAAGUGUUCAUGGGAGAAAUAGCCCCGAAACCGCGUAGAUUAUUUAUUUAUUUAAUCUUUAUUGCACAAAAGAAAACCUUAUAGUACAAAAGGCGGAUUUAAUGCCAUGAGGCAUUCUCUACCAGUAAACCUUUAGGCAAAGCAGGGAGAUUAUGGUAGUUCCUCACAUUUAAGUUAGCUUGUUCCAGGGAUGAAGGCUCUGCCGAUUAUAAGCAGCCAUAAUAUAUUGAUAUGUAGGUAUUAAUUAGUAGUAGUAGUAAAACUCUUAUUGUACAAAAAAUCAUUGUCUUAUUCCUCUGUCACUCUAGUCAAAAGCUUAUAAAUGACAAAUGAUAAUGACUCGAUUAGCAUUAAGAUAUAUUAUUAACAUCUCGGAUUGUUUACGUACGGGAAUAUACGUAUGCUGUCUGUACCAUCCGCGAAACAGGUUUCACGACUAACCUUUAAUGUUUGUACCUACAGGAUGAGUAAUGGUACCUUCCCACAAAUAUGGCCGUGGAUGACAGAGGCUUUUAACUGAUUGUUUGAAGACACCUGGUACGCUUUUCGUAGGAUACCUUUUUCCAGUACUUGAGACUCAAAUAAGACAAUGGAAUAUCCACAGAAGUAAGUUAAGAGGAAAAGAGACGACCGCUUCUCCAUACAAACGUAGUCCCCAUUUUCCUCUCUGAAUAUUGAUAUUAUGGAAAAUAUUUUCACAUAAUUUGAUGUAUAUUAACAAAAGCUAUAUAAAUGAU